RNAcentral lists this ribosomal RNA (497 nucleotides) under uncultured bacterium. Its description in RNAcentral is "partial 16S ribosomal RNA". It matches the Rfam family "Bacterial small subunit ribosomal RNA", at positions 28 to 507 of the family's 1533-position model. The record is from RNAcentral.
GAUGAACGCUGGCGGCAUGCCUAAUACAUGCAAGUCGAGCGAGCGGACGAGAAGGUUGCUUCUCUGAUGUUAGCGGCGGACGGGUGAGUAAUACGGAGAUAACCUACCGAUAAGGCUGAGAUAACGGCGGGAAACCGGAGCUAAGACCGGAUAAUAUUUGGAACCUCAUGGUUCAAAAAUGAAAGACGGUCUUGCUGUCACUUAUAUAUGGAUACCCGCUGCAUGAGCUAGUUGGUAAGGUAACGGAUUACAAAGGCAACGAUGCAGAGGCGCCCUGAGAGGGUGAUAGGCAACACUGCAACUGAGACACGGUCCCGACUCCUGAGGGAGGCACCAGUCGGGAAUCUUCCGAAAUGGGCGAAAGCCUGACGGAGAAACGCCGCGCGAGUGAUGAACGUCUUCUCUUCGUAAACCACUGCUAUUAGGGAAGUACAUAUGUCUUAGUACCUGUGAACAUCUUGAGGCUACCCCAUCAGAAAGACCCGGCUCAAUACGCG